GAUGAACGCUGGCGGCGUGCCUAACACAUGCAAGUCGAACGUGAGGGGGUAGCAAUAUCUCUGAAAGUGGCGCACGGGUGAGUAAGACGUAGGUGACCUGCCCUGGAGUGGGGGAUAACAGCUGGAAACGGCUGCUAAUACCGCAUAUUACCGGAACACUGGGAAGUGUACUGGUAAAAAACUCUGGUGCUUCAGGAGGGGCCUGCGGCCGAUUAGCUAGUUGGCGGGGUAAGAGCCCACCAAGGCGACGAUCGGUAGCUGGUCUGAGAGGACGAUCAGCCACACGGGAACUGAGACACGGUCCCGACUCCUACGGGGGGCAGCAGUGAGGAAUAUUGGGCAAUGGGCGGAAGCCUGACCCAGCAACGCCGCGUGGAGGAAGAC
This 384-nucleotide ribosomal RNA is filed under the name uncultured bacterium. RNAcentral's name for it is "bacterial SSU rRNA". It matches the Rfam family "Bacterial small subunit ribosomal RNA", at positions 28 to 412 of the family's 1533-position model. The record is from RNAcentral.